RNAcentral lists this ribosomal RNA (244 nucleotides) under Pseudomonas aeruginosa. RNAcentral describes it as "partial 16S ribosomal RNA". It matches the Rfam family "Bacterial small subunit ribosomal RNA", at positions 236 to 472 of the family's 1533-position model. The record is from RNAcentral. Lineage: Bacteria; Pseudomonadati; Pseudomonadota; Gammaproteobacteria; Pseudomonadales; Pseudomonadaceae.
UCGGAUUAGCUAGUUGGUGGGGUAAAGGCCUACCAAGGCGACGAUCCGUAACUGGUCUGAGAGGAUGAUCACCCACACUGGAACUGAGACACGGUCCAGACUCCUACGGGAGGCAGCAGUGGGGAAUAUUGGACAAUGGGCGAAAGCCUGAUCCAGCCAUGCCGCGUGUGUGAAGAAGGUCUUCGGAUUGUAAAGCACUUUUAUUUGGGAGGAAAGGCAGUAAGUUAAUACCUUGCUGUUUUGA